RNAcentral lists this ribosomal RNA (1102 nucleotides) under human gut metagenome. RNAcentral's name for it is "bacterial LSU rRNA". It matches the Rfam family "Bacterial large subunit ribosomal RNA", at positions 1827 to 2925 of the family's 2925-position model. The record is from RNAcentral.
AAAACCGAAAGGUGAGGUAUAUGGGCUGACGCCUGCCCGGUGCUGGAAGGUUAAGGGGAGAGGUUAGCCGUAAGGCGAAGCUUUGAACUUAAGCCCCAGUAAACGGCGGCCGUAACUAUAACGGUCCUAAGGUAGCGAAAUUCCUUGUCGGGUAAGUUCCGACCCGCACGAAAGGCGUAAUGAUUUGGGCACUGUCUCAACAAUGCACCCGGUGAAAUUGAAAUACCAGUGAAGAUGCUGGUUACCUGCGCCAGGACGGAAAGACCCCAUGGAGCUUUACUCCAGCUUGAUACUGGGAUUCGAUAUUGCAUGUACAGGAUAGGUGGGAGACUUUGAACUGAUGACGCCAGUUGUCAGGGAGUCACUGUUGGGAUACCACCCUUGUAGUAUUGGAUUUCUAACCAGCAGCCGUGAACCGGCUGGGGGACAAUGUCAGGUGGGGAGUUUGACUGGGGCGGUCGCCUCCGAAAGGGUAUCGGAGGCGCUCAAAGGUUCCCUCAGGAUGGUUGGAAACCAUCCGAAGAGUGCAAAGGCAGAAGGGAGCUUGACUGUGACACCGACGGGUGGAGCAGGUACGAAAGUAGGACUUAGUGAUCCGGUGGUAUUAAGUGGGAAUGCCAUCGCUCAACGGAUAAAAGCUACCCUGGGGAUAACAGGCUUAUCACUCCCAAGAGUUCACAUCGACGGAGUGGUUUGGCACCUCGAUGUCGGCUCAUCGCAUCCUGGGGCUGUAGUAGGUCCCAAGGGUUGGGCUGUUCGCCCAUUAAAGCGGUACGCGAGCUGGGUUCAGAACGUCGUGAGACAGUUCGGUCCCUAUCCGGCGUGGGCGUAGGAUAUUUGAGAGGAGCUGCCCUUAGUACGAGAGGACCGGGGUGGACUGGCCGCUGGUGGAUCUGUUGUAUUACCAAAUGCAUAGCAGAGUAGCCAAGCCGGGACGGGAUAAACGCUGAAGGCAUCUAAGCGUGAAGCCCCCCUCAAGAUGAGAUAUCCCAUAACGUCAAGUUAGUAAGACCCCUUGAAGACGACGAGGUAGAUAGGGCAGAGGUGGAAGUGCGGUAACGCAUGGAGCUGACUGUUACUAAUAGGUCGAGGGCAUAACCAA